GCCGAGGUGGCGGAAUCGGUAGACGCAGCGGAUUCAAAAUCCGCCGUUGAAAAACGUGAGGGUUCGAGUCCCUCUCUCGGCACCA
RNAcentral lists this transfer RNA (85 nucleotides) under Propionivibrio sp. RNAcentral's name for it is "tRNA-Leu". It matches the Rfam family "tRNA". Rfam says of the family: Transfer RNA (tRNA) molecules are approximately 80 nucleotides in length. Their secondary structure includes four short double-helical elements and three loops (D, anti-codon, and T loops). Lineage: Bacteria; Pseudomonadati; Pseudomonadota; Betaproteobacteria; Rhodocyclales; Rhodocyclaceae. The record is from RNAcentral.